CUACUUGCAGGGGAAACCCCCCAUCACAGGACCUGCAGACAAGAGAAAAUUUGUAUUCAGACAAAACUCAACUUUCUGCAGCAUGGGGGUAAAAGGUGCAGAAUGGAGACAAGGAGGUUAAGAUGGGAAGAUGCUCUAGAGAAACAGGUAAGUGAUCACCUUGUGGAUACUUCACAUACCUCCAAAUUCAACACUCCACACUGGUUUGAUUCAUAUAUUUAUGAAUAGAUAUAUAUUUGAUUAUAACUGUUACUUGGUCUGAGUGUAUAUCCACUGCACAUUUGAACGCCACAUACUUACUUUGUUAUGUGUAUCAUCACACUGCGGUAAUUGCACCUCUACCACAAAACCUUAGUGUUAAUUGUAGUCAAACCUCAACUCUGGAAACAAAAUUGCUUUUUGUACAAUUAAUCUUUUAGACACAUUCUAUCACAGACACUGCAACUGCUAUAGCGGAAACAUAACCUCUCUUCUCACUCUAAACAAACCUUCAAGAUUAGUUAGGUGAGUUUAUUUGAAGGUUUUCGUUAAUCCGUUUGUUGGCAGUGCAUUUAUAUUUUGUAAUAGCACUAAGAGUGUGUCAUAUUUCAGUCAGAUGGAAAGUCAUAUGCAUGUCUCCUGGUCCUUCUCUCUAGCUAUAAAAAAUAAUAAUAAAAUGAAAUAAAAUACUAAAAUGCUUAAAGAGAGUGUGUACAAGUAGCUGCUGUUCUAGUCUGCAAGGGUUAAAUGAAAUAAUCACCAUUUUUGGUCCUCCGUUGCCAAACAUUUGCUCAUUAUUACUCAGACUGCCUAGAGAGAGCCACACAUUUUGUGCGAUUAUUAUGGCCAUUUUUGUUUUAUGUACGUACAUUUUUGUGUUUUGUUUUUAACUCGUCACAUGUCGUCUGUACUAAGUUAAAUCUAGAGGGGGUAAUUGGUAAAAGAUGAUUCUUUCUUUUGCAAACUGAACACCAUUAAAAUGGCAGGUUACAAUACCAUAAUGGAAUCUAAGAAGUACCUAAACAUUACACAAUGAUGUCAUUUAUCUUUUUUCCCUAUUUUAAUUCUAACUAAACAUUGAAAAUGUCUUCUUUAACCCCUUAAGGACCAAACUUCUGGAAUAAAAGGGAAUCAUGACAUGUCACACAUGUCAUGUGUCCUUAAGUGGUUAAAGGCCUAUACUGUAUAAAAAACUAUAUCCCCAGAUGUUGCUGACCUACAACUCCUCUAAUGCAUUACCAGCCUUUAAAAUAACAAAGCUUUAUGGAUGCUGUAGUUCUAAAUCAUUUGGGCAUCUACUUUUUUGGAACCCCUGCUAUACAAUAUCGUACAUGUCUUUACAGUAAUACUUGCGAAAUCUCUGUAUUCUUCACCACUAAUUCUCCCUCUGCCAUCAUGGCCAGAAUUAUCUUCUUUUAUCCUUGCCAUAUAUCGUCUAGACGUUUUCUGUUCCAAAUCCUAGAAUGUCUACAGCCGUUCCUCUAAAGUUGUCUAGAAAGCUAUAAAUAUAAUUUGCUUUUGUUUAUAUCUGUAUUUUCCCCAAUGAUAUUUUGAAUGUGUCUUGAAUGACGGGGUACCCAAUAUUUGUAGUAUGGGAUAAUGCUAGUGCUGACUAAGUGCUUACUGAAAGAGAUCCUGUUAAAUUAAUUUGUUAAAAAAAACAAAACCCAAAAAAAUAGAAACUUGAUACUGGUUUAAUAAUAUAUUAUGAUUUAAAAAAAAAUUAUUAUAAUAUUAAUUCUACUAUAAUGCAAAUGUUUAUGAAAAAGCCAAAUGCAGAGAUGUAUUUAUUCCAGAAAAAUCAUAGCAUUAUUUUUUUUUUUUUUUUAGAAAAUAUAAGGUUGCUAUAGAUUAUUGUCUAUAAAAAAAAUGUCAUUGUUUCAAAGUCCAAUGGUUUUACACCAUUUGUGAUUUUUCAGGAAAAUUUGCAGGGGCCAGCUUCACACGAUUAUCUUAUAGAUUGUUUUAUUAAUGUAACCCCCUAUGCAAGCUCAUGAACUUGAGUGAACUUGAAUGCCCUCUUACUAUUGUAAGUAGAUAUGCCUUAGGUAAAAGUCUUUAAGUAGUCUUAAGUAGGCAAAGCCACAGAGGUAGUGAGUUUCUGUUCAAUAUUCCCAUGUAGCUGAUAAUUAUUUUAGCACAUUUCAGAUACAAAUUCAGUGCUUAAAGAAUUAAAUCAACGGCAAUACUGAUGAUGAAACAUGAGUGUGCUUAAGGCAAGUGAGUGAGACUUUCUCUGAGUGAGUGUGGCCUUUUAAGUCUGCCAAACCUCACAGUUACUUCCUGUUAGGACUGAGACCCAUUUUUUGGCAGCUGAGGCGGAGGCAGCUGCUCCAGAUGUGACCACUUUAACCACUGGAAAAACCCCGAGGCUCUUACUGUCAUGCUACGACGAGAGAUUUCCCCUCUCACCACACAUUAAAAUCAAAGCUCCUUGUACAAUGCUUAUUAUCUGUUAUUCAUAAAGCGCCAAAAGACAUGCUUGCAAAGGCAAAGAGGCUUUCUGGAUUACUGAGAGGCCACCAUUCUCCAUUUUAGGAAGUAUUUCCCAGCUUCCCUAGUGUAUAUUAAUGUGUAAAGCUGUUUUAAUGUCCUGAUUAGCACUAUUAAAAUCAAAUGAACCAUCUCUCCACUGUGGAGAGAUACUAAAAUCACAGAUUUCUAAAAUGCAUUGCCCUGUUUUACACUCAAAAACAGCGUGAAUAGUCAGUAAGCAUGCAAAGGUUCAUAUGGCCUUGAACGCUGGUCAUUUUUAGUCAGCUGAACUGAAAAACGUUAUUGUCCAUUAACAAGGGCUGCUUAACAGCACCACAGCACCCACCGCAGCUACAACUCCCAUUACGUGCAGACUGCAGGUCCGUAUCAUAUUGUGUAUGCUUGUAUUACACUUUUCGACAGAAGCGUAAGCAGAGUUAUGUGUCAGAAACUUCCUUACAUUGGGCAUUGUUUAAUUAGGUACAUCAGGAGCCGGGAGCUGGAAAUUGCUCUGGGCCUAAAUACAGAAUUUCAAUUUGUGUUUCUGGUUUCAUGCGCCUGACAUUGCAGCCAUAGGUUAAACCAUCCCUGCAUGCAUGUAUAAACAGGAAAUUUAAAGCAUACAGAAUCCAUUAUCACAGCACAGAGACAUCCUCUGGGGGAGCAAGGAGUUAAAGGGAUCACAGCCCUUCCAAUGGGUCACUGGGCACAAUGGGCACCUUUGGCACUUCAUGCUCAGCCAGGCCAAUGAAGAUAUCUGUGCCUCUUUGACCAGGUGCUAUGAGUAUGGCACCCAGUAUUUAUAUUCACACAAGAAAAUAAAAUUAAACCAUCCGGCAACAUGGGUAACUUCCAAUACAUGGGCCAGAGGUUUCUGCUCCCAUAGCCCCUAUGUUAAAGAGACACUCUAGAAUACAAAUAUGAAUUUCUAAUGUAAGAAGUAAUUCAUUACUAUUUAAAUUUAUCCCUCACCAUAAUAAAAUAAAGAAGAUUUACUUACAUUUAGCACAAUGUCACACAAAUCUGCCUCUCUGCCCCUGGCUGUGAUCAUCAGUGAUGAUAUCAGCCAAACCAGUACUCCCCCAUAGGGAUGCCUUGGGGCCUUUGCAAAGACCCCAACAGUGACAAUGUCACUUUAAUAUACAUGGCUUUUUACUAAUUAGCAAUGUUAUCCUUACCUUGACACCUGGAUGCUUGCAAACUACGUUUCUUAUGAUGCAAAGCAUACUCUGAGUAAAAUGUAGUUCUCUGACAUCUUGAGAACCCAUCACUGACCCGACAGAGUAUGUAGGCUGUGGGGUGGCUGAUUGAUAUUAUUACACAGUAUAAGGGAUCAAUAUUAGUUUAACAGAGUCUGUUACUCCCCGACUGAUGCAGCUACUGUUUGUUUUACUCAUUUUGCUGGCCAGAUCACAUGCAAACAUUUAUUAAUAUUUGUCAUGCAGUACAUUGGUAAUCACACCAAUUAGUAUAAAAUGUAUAUAUCAGCCUCAUCAUGCAGUAAACACUAUAUUCAAUUUGAUAAUCACUGUGACUUUAGAGUCCCCAGGAGUGAGGUAUGUAUUAAUUCUAUAUAUAUAUAUAUAUAUAUAUAGCAUAUAUAAUAUAUGCAAUUUCUAACCAUUUAUUACAAUUCAUUUUCACAAUUCACACUCUAACAUCAGCACAAUGAGGUCAUGUUUAUAAAUCCCAUACUGUACUAUGAGUGACACAGUCACACAUUGCAAUAGAAGUAAUGUACAGUUGACUGACAUUUUUUUGCAUAGGACCCCCAGAGGUAACAGCAACUGUAAUUCAGUUUCUCUCCCAUUACUGACAUGUUAGGACAGUGUGAUUCUCUCCCUCUCUGCUCCUCUCCUAGCAAAUGUGUAAGUGUAGAAGGGCUGAAUUUCUGAGUGGAAUACUCAUCAUUCGUGGGUAAACCAUGUUGUAUGAUUAAAGCAAGUGGGGGAUAGAGGCUAUAGUGGGAAAUAGGGGAUAUAAUGGGGAGUUAGUGGAUAUAGUGGGAGGAUUAGUGGCUGCAGUGGGGGUUUAGAAGAUGUAGUAAGGGGAUAAAGGGCUGUAGCAGGGGUUAGAGGUAGUAGUGGGAAGAUAGGGGCUGUAGGGAGGGAAAGGUGCUGUAGUGGUGUAUAAAGGCAGUAGUUUGGGUUAGAGGUUGCAGAGGGAUGUAGGAGCUGAAGAGGGGGUUAGAAGAUAUAGUGUGGAGAUAAGGCACUGUGAAGGGUGUUGGGAGCAGUAGUGAGGAUUAAGGGCAGUGGUGGGAGCUAAGGGCAGUAUUGGGUGUUUGGUUAUUGGCAGUAUUGGGGGUUUAUAAUUAGUAGUGGGGGUUAAAGGCAGUAGUAGGGGGUUAUGUGGUGUAGUGGGGCAGGUAUGAGGCUUUAAUAAAAAAUAAAUUAAGCGCAGUUUCUUCUUCCUCCCCUUAAGAUUACAAUGGGCCAGGGAGGAUAGAAUCAUUAUCCUUUGUGGUCCGGUUGUAAAUGCAGCUUGAUCUGCACCCCAAGUGGGUGCAGACAGCUCCUUCCGCCAUGAUAACCAUAUAUAAGUUUUGCCAUGAUAACCAGUGGCAAUGCUCUAAUACAGUAGAAGGGGCAGAGAUUUUGGCCUGGUAGUACAGAGCAAGUUAUACCUCCUCCAUCUCAGAUCAGGGUCAAGCAGGGGACUGCAGCAGCUAUGCUUGAUUUCUCAAGCGGUCGGCUGCCAACUUGUUCAGCAACCAGCAUCCCUACUGUAUUUGGGGGUGCUUAGGCACCCCAAGCACACCCCAUGCGCACGCCUAUGACUACUUUUGAACAGAAAACUUAGAAACACCUGUUUUGAACUUUGACCUAACUAGCUCAUGCCAGUCUUUGCCUUCAACUUAUACAUACUGCACAGACAACUCAAAAGAGACACAAAAAUAUUCUAAUAUUUUUAUUAUUUUUAUAAAAUUAUUAUAUUAUAUUGUAAAAUUAUUGUAUUAUAAUAUUCAUUAUCUGGAGAGCAUUUCUUUCUAUAAAAAGGUGAGGACUGAAAUGUUGACUCUAAUGCAUUUAUUUAUUUUUUUUAAUUUUUUUUUACAUUCUACUUUUUUCCUUUGAAUAUAUGAUUUCUCUUUUUUAUUUUGUAUUUUUAAGUGGCUAUUUUGCAACAUACUAUCUAUGUGAGUGCCACAUCUGAUUUGUUCUUUUGAUGUACAAAUGCUGUCUUCACUCUGAAUUCAGAUUUGUCGUGAAUUAACAACCAGCUGGCAAAACAUAGGAAAAUAUAUACUAGAGUUUGCUGACCUAAAUUUUGCAAUAUGAUUUUCAACUAGUCGUAGGUGAAAGCAUCAGACAGAAAUGUAAGAGAAACUUAAUAAUUCAUAAUUUACAAUUAACCCUGACAUCCACUAAUCAUUGUAGUGCUGGGAAUUCAUCAAGGAAUUGCAAAUAUAAGGGCCAAAAUAGUUGACUUGGAAACAUGGGUGACUUGAUGACAUUCCACAAACUCUUACAGGGUUAUUCACAAAAGUGAGAAUUCAAAGUGGAUUUCAUAUUUAAGGCUAGACUAGCUGAACCGAGAGCAUAUCUGACUUCCAGUUUGGCUACUUUGACCUUAAAUUUGAAAUUCACAUUGAAUUCUCACUUUGGUAAAUAACCCUAUAAUUUGUAAAAUGUAGGUAAAAUAGUUUUGUAUUGGAAGAUUUUGUUUUUACAUCACAGAUAUGUUGACCUACAUUUUCUAAUCUUUGCUUUCAAUUAAUCAUCUUUCCUUAGAGGAACACUCUGGGCACCUUAGCUCCAUCUCAGAAAAGUUGUUAUGGUGUCAGUCUUGGGGUAAACCUGUUUACUAGGUGUGUACUUUUCUCGCACAGCUUUGUAAAAUCUCUCAGCCUCACCCAGUCUGAGAAUUCAUUAUUGAAGCCCUGGACCAUUGUCAGACGCCAGGUGCAUGAUCAAUUGGGUACCGUCUUUGCAACUUUGGGGUUAAACUGUUCAUAAAAAGGACGGUGCUCAGGACCUCUUAACACCAUAACAACUUUAUUAAAAUUAAGUUGUUAUGUGCCUGGAGGUUUUUUUUAACAUAUGUUUAUAUCUAUAUUAGAGUUGUAGCUUUUGGCAGGAAAUUAUGGAGGAGUAUGGGGCAGGCAGUAAAGUAUGGAAUAGCUCUAAAUCAGAUGACAUCCAUUCCCUUCAACCUAAUUUCAUAUCUCUCUCCAGAUCUCUUCCGUUAACAUCUAUAUUCAUCUCAUCUGGUUAUUCUCAUUCCAUCCUCUUCCUUUUUUUUCCCAGACUCAAUUUGCCUCAAAUUGCUUCAUCUCUUUAUUCCGUCUACUUCUUAAUUAUACCUCCUCUCGCCUACCACAGGCCAACUCUACUUCAAAGAAUUGUUUUUAAAAUUGUUGACUUAAAACGUUUCAUUAAGGCAUUGGGUACAUAGCUGUAGCACACACAUCACAUGGACACUGGCUGAUACUGAUGGGAUUCACCAUAUAUUGAAUCCUAAGCCGUUCUUAUGCCUAUCUCUAAUUGUAAGUCUCUACUAACAGCUGUCUUAUAAUAAUGUUUUGGUCCUAGUAAUUCAGCAAUGCCGUAAUGUUUUAAAUAUGACAGUAAAGCUAUAAAUACACGCCUCUGCAACCCAAAUCUUUAUUUCUUUCCCCUUACUCAUCCCAUUUAAUCACUCCUUAUUCUAUCUCCCUCCCUCGUCAAUCAAUCUCUUCCUUUUAUUUACACGCUCAUUCCAUUCCUGUUCUCUGGGUCCCUGCACUCUUGCCUCUACCACGGUGUCACUGUCCUUUCCUGACUCUGUGAGUGUAAGAAGUUCUUGUUAUGGGAGUGUUGGCUAUAUGGUCAUAUCCUUGUGCCAUCCACCAUUAGACUCUUAUCACACAUGUAGGAUGGGGCAGUGACCGGGCAUCAAUGGUACAAAUACAGCAUAGUACAGAAAAGUGAUGAUUACCACUGCCAGGAUAGAGAACACAUUCCGAGUAGCCUCCUGUUUCUUCAAAGUAGCAUUGCAACUAGCUUUGAUGUUGGUAACACAAGCAGUGCCAUUUGAAACAUUGUGUUUUUUAAAACUUUAUUCUACAGAAUAACAAUUAUCACUAUUCUUAUUGCUCUAUAGCAGGGGCGCACAAAAGGUAGAUAUCUAGACAUUGUAGAACUACAAUGAUGCUAUCCAUGCCUUUAGAAUGUUUUAGAAAGACAAAGUAUCACGGAAGCUGUAGAUCUACAACGUCUUGGGAUCUACCUUUUAAGCACCCCUGCUCAAUAGAAUUUCAUAAACUGGGAACUGCUGCACUUAUAGAACUGUAACCUCUUAGACGUCUCACACUUCAAGCAUGUUUACUACAGUCAAGAUGAUUUAUGGAACUGUUUCACAUUGGUCCAUUUUUUCUACAGAUGUAAUUGUUUAGCAGCCAUAAAAUCAACACUGCCAGAGAGAUUACUUUAAACGGAUACCUCCUCCAUAGAAUUUGCUGUGUAAAUGUUAGCUGUUGAAGAAGCCAAUGGUUGGAAUAGCUGAAAUACUUGAUUGCAGCAUUACCAUACAUAGCCAAAAUGGAAGCACUUUAGGUUUGGUGCCUUCAUAUUUAUGGAGAGGAAGAGGUGACAGAGAUUUAAGAGUGAUAAAGAAACAGAGUUAUUAUAAUGUUGUAUAUUCCAAGAGUAGGUUGGUCAGAACUGGUUUAAAAUAAACCAUUUUGUUUGGAAAAAGGGAGAACUUGGAACUUUUGGAGUAAUCCAAAACAGGACAAAGUUAUGAACACAUAUUAGAUAGUAACAGGUGUAGAAAGUGGGCAUAUCAUGACGCUCAGAUGUCUGAUGUAAAUUACAACAUUCACAUACUAUUUACAGUGAAUAUUGGUUAAUUAUUUUUUAUAAAGUUCCAACAUAUUCUGCAGCAACGUACAACAGCGGUAUUACAGACAAGACAGGCAUUUUAGCCUAAAGCUUGCCAUUCAGAUUGCAUUUUCUAAAAUUCUGAGUUUAGCAAAUAACCCUGCAUAUGUUUAAGCAAGUAAGAAAGGUUAUAUAAAAGUACAUGUGGUUUACCUAACCACACGGUACUUGGGUUUAAUUAAGGAGGAUAACAUAAAACUCAAGAACUGGGCCAAACAUACCAUCUUUUUAAAAAUUUUUAUUUGUUCUUAUUUAUACUUAUUUGUUCUUUUAUGCAUUGCUUGCCGCAUCAACAGAAAUGCAUUUUUGGGGUUUGUGGUUUAGAACAGUCACUCAUUUCCUGCUGUCCCCAUGGCUCACGGAUGACCCAUCAUUCCACUGCUUAUACUAUGUCCUUUCUCACAUGUUAUUUGACCUCUCCAAUUUUUAUACAGCUGCUCUUUUUUUUGUUUUUUUAUCGUAACAAGAAUGUUACAUGUAAACAGACCAGCUAAGUGUUUGUGUCACACGCUCCCCAUUUCCUCUAGCAAUUAACCCUUUAUGUGGAUUCAGAAUUGUCUGGAGAAAAUCUUUACUUUUCACUUUUUUUUUUGGUAUCAAUGCGUUGGUGAGUCUUAUCUCUUAUUUUACCAGCUCGUUCCUGCAUCUUUGUAACCUUUAUACCUUUAUUUUAUUGUGCCGCACGAAUUCUAAACUCAGAGUGACAUCCGUAAUAUCAACUAACUGUUAGUCACAUUUUCAAUAUUUGAUUAAGUUGAGAACAGGCACGCACCAAAAUAAGGAAAUGUUUUAAUGGAGCAGAGCAAAGGAUCGGCUCUAAUUCAAUAUUAAUUUAAAUUAUGGGAAAUGAAGGCCAAAGCUGCAAAAUAAGGGACAAUAAAGCCAAGCCGGAGAUUUAGCAGACUUAGAGAGUUAUGGAAAAAAUCUAUAUUAGACUAACCUGUGUUACGCCUUAGUUACCCACAACACAGUGUAUACUGAAUGUCGAAAAAGAAAAUACAUUCUUAAAUCAAUCAAUACAACAUGAGAAAAUUAGAAGGGAACUUGAACUUCUGUUAACCGUAACCCUGGCCAGCAUAGUUUGUUAUUUGCCGCAGGGGUAGGCAACCUUUGGCACUCUAGAUGUUGAAUGACGCUGUAAAGGCAUUAUGGGAGUUGUAGUCCACAAACAACAUCUGGAGUGCCAAAUGUUAUCUACCCCUGCCUUACAGAACGAGUACCGAUUACCCAACAUAAAAUAUUUAGGGGACAAACGUCCAAAGUUGAAAUUAUCCUCACUUCUGCAGGACUGGAGUUUGUUUUCUGCUUUUUAGUCUAAAAUUGUGAGUCAGUUCAACUUGCAGUUUUAGUAAUUAAAAAUGAAGCCAAACUGCUUUUUUACUCGAAACGUUUAUUAAUUAGUAAUUUUAUUAUAUUGAUGUACAUUUAAUCACUAAACAGUAUGAAAAAUAUGUGGAAAAUGUAUCACAAAGUAACAAAGUUUGGAAAUAAUCUACCAUUACUGCCAUGCUACAGAUUUCACUUUAGUCACUGGAAUAAAUAGACACAGAUAGAAGAAGGACGUACUGGAGUAUAUGUUUUAUUUAUUUUUUGUUUGUAAUUCUACAAUCAACUUUGGCUGAUUGCGGAACUCUGUGCACCCUGUGGGUAUGUGCUGCUGCACAAUUUGCUAUAAAUGCAAAUCAUCAGCUCAGCCAGCAAGUACAGAUGUGUAUAUCAUAUCUGGGAUUUGUGUCACUGACAUAACAACAAUACGAUAGCAGGAGUUUAUAUAUAUAAAUAUCUAAAUAAUACUGCUUGCAAGUUAAAUGUACUGUAGGUGUAAACAAAUCACAUAAUAAACAGAUACAAAUCACAUAGUAAACAGAUACAAUUUACUUACAAAACUAGCAAUAUUGAUUUUGUAUUUAGCUAUAAAAGUGGUCCACUAACGCCUACAUUUUUCUCCUAAUUCUUGAAGAGCUCGAACUGUUCUUUGAGUUUGCCCAAGUUGAGGAGCUCAAUGCAACAAAAGUAAGGUGAUUGUCAAUGAAGCAAUUUGCACAGCACAUGGCUAGGUCCCUGCUAUCAGAACUAGCUGAAUUUCACACCUACAUAUUGGUGAUCUUUGUGGACCAUGACCUGAUAGAGAACUGUACUUCUUGAUGAUUUAUUAUAAUAAUAAUAAUCAUUGAAGAGGUUCGGUGGAGCAGGGACUUGACCCGCGGCAAAGGCACCAAAAUUGCCUUGGCUUCAUUGGAGAGCCCUAUACCAUUUUACUUCUCUCUAAUUGUUUUGUGUUUUUUUCAGAAUGCAAAGACACGGUGUUUUUGGCAUUCCUUGCAAUCCAAAACAUUUUAAUACGUCAGAUGGAUGAGACGGCGCUGUAUGUGGCGUUAUAUCUUAUUUAGAUUGAAAUUGAGUGGUAAAGGGGGCUUUUGCCACUAAGAAGGCUUUGUUCUUGUGUUUCUCAGACUGAACACCAACAAAUUCCACCAGUUUAUGGCCCAAAAUGUAAUCAGGAGAUAGCAAAAUUAGACUUUUUGGGUUGUAUCCUUUAAUAAAUAUUGUAUUUAUUACAACAAUACAUUGCCUUACAUAUUGAAGUGCACUGCUGUUUUUCUCACAAAGGGUUAAAAUACAUGUAGCCAAAUUAUUACAUGCUAGGUUUUCCAGUUUUAUUUGAACCAUAGACACAAAGCACUUGGACAAUAAUGUAAACACACACACACACACACAUUAAUUUAUGGUCUCAUAGUCAGCAUGUUCAGCAUUGCUAUAUAAGGUAUAUCUAGAACUCGGGGGAAUUAAAUGGCACACAAGCUGGGUUAUUCACUAAAGUGAGAAUUCAAAGUGAAUUUUAAAUUUACAGAAUUAUUCACUAAAAUUAGAAUUUAAGGUGAACUUAAAAUGGAAGUGAAUUUCAAAUUGAAUUCUCCUUUUGGUAAAAAACCCUGAAGGUAUUACAGCCUUGUUCACAAGAACUGACAUUAAAGAGGGAAGGAAAUCGGGAGCAAAUAUGUUUAUAGAAAGGUUUACUUAUCUGCUUGUGCAUUAUAUAUAUAAUUGUAAUAUUUCUAGUAAAAGUCUGGUAAAUUAAGAUUACAGGAGAAAGGAAAGUUAGGGAGAAAGAACCAGAAUCUUUUUUUUAAGCACUGGAACUACAUCCCUAACACCGUUUGACAGGUGAAAUAUACAUGACAACAUUCCAGUUCAACUUAGUGUAUUCACAAAUGUUUGCAAUUUUCAAGCCUGAUAUGGAAAUAUGAAUACACUGUUUAUCGAGCCAACAUUCCACAUUCUUCUACAACAGAGUUACGUUUAUUGCUAUGACAAACCAAAAAUGCUGCGUGUCUUUCUUGUUAAAUCCCACAUUGUAAGAUUAUUUUGUAUAAAUAUACUGAUAUAAGAUCUAUCUGUAGCAAUAGAAGCUAUAUCUUUGUAAUAUUCCCAAACUGCCUUGGGGUUUCAAUACUAUAAUCUAUCUUAGAAUCAGCCACUGAAAAACAGCACAUGCCCCCAGCAGUCUGGCUUACUGCCGGAGGAGGAUUUGGACUGUUUGAAGUCCCACGAAUCUGCCUCUGACCAUAAAAGGAAGAGACAUUUUUCUUCAGUCUGGAUCAUGGAAAAAGAAUAAGCUAUUUUUAGGUAGAGGUCUGGCUGCCUGUGAGAGAGGCUGCACUGUAUGAUAGUGAUCUAUAUACUGUUCUAGUGUUCUGACACAUUAACAGAUACAUACUAUAGAUACAAUGAAACACAGCCAUCUACGCACCUCCCACCCAAAUGCUUUGGAUAUGACAAAAGUGAAUUUAAAAAAAAUUAAAUUGAGUUUACGUGGCUGAUAAGAAAGGAGUUUAGACAUUUUCGGUCAUUUUCAGAUAAAUAUACAUAUAUGCAGCAUUAUAUAUAUAUAUAUAUAUAUAUAUAUAUAUAUAUAUAAUAUAUAUAUAUAUAUAUAUAUAUAUAUAUAUGUAUGCAAGAAACCAUAGAAAUGUUGCAAAAAUAAAAAAAAGACACAAUGGGACUAUAUAGUCUGUCCGUUACUGAUAUUUUAUAUUUGAUUAUUACGCUUUUUUAAAUUUUUGCCGAUCCCAAGCACCAUCAUUUUGCCAAAUAAGGAUGCACGUUAGUCCAAGAUAUUCCUGUGUGUAUGUAUAUGCCUUACUGGUUUGUUUAACCCCUUAAGCACACAUGACAUGUGUGACAUGUCAUGAUUCCCUUUUAUUCCAGAAGUUUGGUCCUUAAGGGGUUAAAUGAUGUCAGUCAUUCCCAAUGUGCAUCACAUUAAUCUGAUUUUUUUGCAGUCACUAGAGGCGUUAGGUAAAAUUACAUUUUGUGUUUAAUACAUAGAUAUUUUAAAUAUCUUUAAGCUACUUAAUGUUCUUGGAAUACAUAUUUCAAUAGUACCUAAUUUCUCCACGUUACUUAUCUGCCAAACCCAUAACUUUUAUAUCUCAUUUAACCUCAUCUUGUUUUAAAAGUUUGUUCCUAGUUUGCUAAAUGCUCUCAAGUCUCCAGAGUCUACCCAAUGUCUUCAAUCCCUAGUUGACGGGGAUUUACAACUCCUGAGCCCACCUUUUGGCCCAAAGGCUCAACCACCUAAAACUAAAAUCAUGGCAACAUUUUGGCUUGCUAUGCUUGAUUAAAGCACAAGUCAAAAUGAUACUUUGAUUUCACGUUGAUGCUUCAAUAAAAGUCUACAUGAAGUCUAAGGUGGUUGAGCAGAAUAUAUCUGUUUUAAAGGUUGUGAUAAAACCAGCGACAUUGUAGAGGAUGCAGCGGUCCUGUGCUCUCAGACAUACAUGAUUAUUCACUAAAGUGAGAAUUGCCAUAAAUUCAAAGUGAAAUUAAAAUUUUAGGCUAAAAUAGCUGAGUUGGAGGCAUUCCUGACUUAGAGAAUUUUUCCAAGUCGUCUAUUUUUGUCUUAAAUUUGAAAUUCACUUUGAAUUGACUUACAAUUCCGACCAGUUCUCCUUUUAGCAAAUAACCAUGUUAUUGUUCUGGGGUUUAUAAAUGUGUGAGAUUCACAAGUAAGUGUGGACCUUAUUUAUACAAUAAUACAUACUAUAUGCCUAAUUCAGCGUUCUGUGUACUUUCUUUUCAGAUAUAUUUUGUUUAAAUGUGAUUGCUGCUGAAUGUGUAUUAUAAUAUUAUAAUAUAUAUAUAUAUUUUUUUUUAUUUUUUUUUUAAAUUUCUUUUAUUUAUCAAAUUUUAUCAAAGUACAUAUUUUCUCUUUUAGAAAAUGUAAUACAUAUAAAACAUUAACAUAUUAGCCAUUCUAUUACAUAUACAUGAACAUUAACUACUACAUUCAAAUACAUACACUUUUCACACAUAGCUUAACAUUGCAUAUAUUUUUCUAUAUAAGCUUCUGAUUAGAAUAUACCUUUAUUGCUUAUCUUUAACUUAUUUGCCCCUUAUAUCUUCCCGUUUUAUAUUUAUAGAGGCUUUAUACUGAGACAUGUUUCGGAUAUUUCUCUUUUUUGACGAACCUUAAUCUCCCGUGUAUCACUUAAUAUAUUCUAUCUGAUUGCCACAUCUCCAGCAACAAUCCUGUCGGUCUUUGUACAUAUUAUUAUAAUAAUGGUAAUUCAGAUUUGGGAUAUAUAUACUGUGUUGCGGACUCCAUAACUUUCAUAAUCUAUAUGUUGGCGCUUUAUAAAUGCCAGUAAUAAAUAAAUAAAUAAUCUAUUAAUUAUUUUGUGUGUGAAUUUUAUCUUUACACACUUGAAGACUAGCGUUUCCUUGUGUAGAAUGCAGUCCUUAGAUGAGGUCAGAAGUGGUUUUAAAUUUGCAGGGAUUCUCGACCGCUAAAUCAUUGAAAUGUAAUGUAUUUCAAAGUGUUCUUAAAAGUGACAGUUAAAUUCCACCAUUAUUUUGAUCGCAUUUAUUAAAAUGAUAUAAAUAGUGAUUGUUUUCUACAUAGUACAUGCGAACAGUUUUCACAGAAAUUUCCAUUUCGGAAGACUGCCAAAUUGAUAGCGACAGAAAUUUUUUGCCACUUUUCUUGAAAUAAAUGGUGGAAAAAUUCAUAAAUCUGCGUUGGUGAAAAAAUGGUGCUUAUUCAAAAAUGACAUAUAAGAAAAUUGUCGGUGACACUUUGGGAAAUCUCCAUCAAGAUAAUUGAAACUCAUUUUUUUUACAUACAUGUCUAGCCCCCACCCCAACCUCCCAAAAAAAAGAACUGCCCUUUACAUGUCUGGUUGAUCUGUAACAUGAUGUAGAUUACUUGCAAUGCAUUAGGGGUAACAGAGUAUAGGAUACAGUGAUAGAACGGUUCACAAUGAAGAACAGCUCUGACAUCUCUGACAUCAUCACUGGGGCCUGGUCGGGCACCUAAAGCGCCACAGCGCUGACCGGGCCCAAGGAAAUCCAUUGCCAUCAGGUGGCCCCAAGAGCAUGGGACACCCGAUCGGCUCCUUCAAUGCGCCCCUGGCGUUUUUUCCAUGCGGUCGGUGCCGUACCAAAAUGCUGGCGGGCCACCUGGAGUGACAGGCCGGUCGCAGCUGCAACCUCUGCGACCGAGGUAGUUCCACCAGUGCUAAAAACGUAUAGAACACGACCCAGAUGUUGUCUUUUUUUUCCAGUCACUUUUUUUCUCCAGAACUCCUUUUUUCAUAAAAAUGAAUAAGAAAAAAACAACAACAUGAGAACCCUUUAUUUCUAAUACAUCCCCUUUCAUCCAAUAUGAAAGCACUGUCAUGGGGGUUAAACCUCCAGGAAAACACUCAUCAACUCAGGAGACAAGACUUGGAGGACAUCCAAGUCAUGAAGGGAACCUCAAAUGUAGUCAACAGCAGCAAAUGUCUGAUGUGAUUGCUCUGCUAAAUUCCAUUCAUACUAUGAAAGCGUAAUUGCCCCUGUUUAAGUUUCACAAUGAUGGUAAUGUAUACAGAGCUGCGCUAAUGACUGAAAAAUAGCUAACAGGCCAAACACAAUGAUUUUCAUUCCCUUAAGCAAACCUGAUUUUUAUAAUUUUAAGAGGCCCAGAUUAUCCCUGCAAGAAGAAUGCUUUCACCAUUUGGAAUUCGGUCAGUUUCUGGAAAUUUCGCAAUGUUUGUCCAUCUUAGGACAGAACCUGCAUAGUACAUUUGGAUUUAAUUCCUUGAAGCAAAUAACACAAGGAAUAGAAAACCUUAAACAUACAGAUUUCAAUCCAACCCCAACCAUUCACACAGAUAUACACACACUUAAAGGGACAGACAAACUUAUAGGACAGUCUAAGCACUAAAAACAUGUAAUGUUACUGAAGUGAUUUUAAGGCACAGAUGCUGCCCCCCACAGCCUUGCAAAUGAAAACAGUGUAGUUUCUGGGAAACAACAUUGAUUACAUUUUACAAUUUCCACUUUCCUAGUGGUUGUCGUUAAGUAGGCGUAGAAAUAGCAACAUGUAAAACUUUGGAUUCAGACACAAAUAUCUACAUCAAUGCAUCUCAAUUCAGUCCUUAGCGAAACAUUAGAUUGGUGGAGCAUAGCGUGUACAAGUAAUAACGGAGUGGUUUUUGUAUUGUAUAUAUUUUUUUUACAAAUAGGAAGGCUUGGCCUGGAGUUGUGGGAGGGGCAUGGUCCCCUAUUUAAGCCCUCUACUCACCUCCACCUGUCCCGUUUCAUUUCCUUACCGUCACUUGACCCCACCCUCCUCUCCCUUUUAAUACUUUUCUUUACUCAUUACUGGGUGGGCCCUCUUUAUUUACAGGCCUACUGCUACGUCGGUUCCGGCACACCUCAACCGACUUGCCGUCUUCGUACACCUUUGCUAUACCUUCAUACUCUCCUUACACUCUUGCCUCGGCUUUUAUGCCCCUACCACAAAUGUAAAUCUGCGUCUGUGUUAUUGUUUUAUUUUUGCAUUUCAGGGCUUACAAAAUACAGACAGAGAGUGUGACAGGACAUACUCACAGACACAUGUACAGACAGAAAAACAGAAGGAAUUACUGAUGGAUGACCAUAUAAUCAGAUAAAUGUGGAACAUUUUGGAAAGUUGGUCAUUCACAUUGAGAAACAGACACGUUGUGCCUUUGUGAGGCUAAUAAUGUAGAAAUCAGAAAGUACAUGUAUAUCGUUUCUUUAAAACAAUACCACCCAGCCUGUCUGUCAGUGUAUAUUGCCACAAGGUUAGUUUAGAAUAUAAAAUCAUGGAUUACUAUAUUACAAUGGUUUAAGUAUGGAAGCACUCAGCAGACCUCUAACAGAUGUGACACCAGAUGUAAUAUUUCAAAGAAGAUCUUCCGUUAGUGUAGUAAACAAGCUGUCACAUCUGAAAGAUUCUAGUUCCAUUGUUUGUCCUGAACGUACAACAAGAAUAAUAUCUGUAUUAUUCUAUAAAUAAUAUUACAAAAUUACUAUAUUCCAUGAUCUGCCUUUAAUAUCAAACACUGUAAUGCAUGGGUGGAGACAUAAUCUGUGCAAUUAUUUACUAUAAUGAGCAACCCAUUGUACCUGGAUUAUCUCUGUGCGAAGGUGGGGUCCUGAUCUUGGCCAAGGUUAGUGAGAGUCUACCUCCCAAAUAAAAACCUUUAUAUCACCUGGUUAGACCAAUGUAACAUCCAAGUCAUGAAGCACGUAAGACAAAGUGUAGAACCAGGAAAAUCCCAGUUAGACCAUCUCACCGGUAAGUGUCUUUGGGCAAGACACCGAACAAUAUAUAUCCACUUACCUCAAAUCCUCAUACAUUAUGAGCUCAUUUGAGCUUUCUUCAUCUCUAAAUAUCACUUUCUAUAAUUACACGCUGUGGAAUAUGUUGGUGCUAUUAAAAUGCUAAUAAUAAUAAUUUUAAUAGCAAUAAAGGCAGACGACAACUGUAACUCCCAGGUCCCCUGGCUGUCCUAACAGUAACAGUAAGACCAUGGCUGUCUUAACCCCUGCACUAAACUGCACUAUACUAUGCAUCAGAGGUCCUCAAACUCCGGCCCCCCAGAUGUUGCUGAACUACAACUCCCAUGAUUCUUUGUAUUACAUAAAUAGCCAGAGAAUCAUGGGAGUUGUAGUUCAGCAACAUCUGGGGGGCCAGAGUUUGAGGACCCCUGCUAUACAUUAAGCCCUACACUACUCUGUCUCUAAACAUUAACCCACACUCUACAUACUUGUGCCACUAAAAAUUAACCCCUAUACUAAACUGUCCCUAAACAUUAACCCCUAUAUUACACUGUCCCUAAACAUUAACCCUUACACAGCAUCACACUGUUACUGAACAACAAGCCCUUCACUACACAACAUAAUUACCAUUACAUAACUACACAGUAACCCAUUCACUACCUUAAACACUACACUAGCACUAACACCUACACUACUAUAACUAUUAAACCCUGCACUACCCUAGCCACAACCACUGACCCCUACGCUACCCAAACCCUAAGCCUUUAUCAGGGAAAAAUAAUGCCUUUGAUUUAAUUGUUUAUUGUAACGUCUCUAGAACCUCUGAAUAGCAUUACACUGCUAAGGCAUAGUUCAAUGUAAUAUAUAGCCAGUGUAUAAUAACACAGAGCUGAAAUACUUGUUUGUGUAAUACUUUCUUCCAUCUAUUAAACAUAGAUCUGAAUUAUGAUUUGCAUAUGAAAUUAAUUAGGAGACCUAAAAGAUUGCCAUUAUGCUUCAUUAAUGGAGUCAACUCACUUAAAGAAAAGGGACACUAUAGUCUCCAGAACAACUAUAGCUUAAUGUACUUGUUAUGGUAUCUAUUGCAUGUCUCUGAUGGUAUUUUAAUGUAAACACUGCUAUUUCAUAGAUAAGUCAGUGUUUACAUAGCUGCAUGGGACACCUCCAGUGGCAGUCAUUUAGAUGCUGUGCAGCACUGACAUUCAGCGACGCCACGCUCUGCAUGGAAAUGCUGAACAUUCCCCAUAGAGAUGCAUUGAUUUAACGAGACAUGCUGACUGGCCAGCGCAGCAUUUUGCCUCGUAUGCGCAAUAGGUUCCCAAUGCUUUGAGAAAGCAUUGGAUUGGCUGAUGAUCUCAGCCAAGGAGGCGAAUCAGGGUAGAGCCAGCGCCAGCUGACCUGUGCAGUGCUGGAAUAAAACGACAGGAAUACAUAUUUGUAUUCCUGUCACUAUAGUGUUCCUUUAAAGGGCUACUAUAGGCACCCAGACCAUUUCAGUUAAUUGAAGUAGUCUGGUUGCUGUGACCCUUUGUAAACAUUGCAGCUCUAAGUUUGCCCCCAUGGGCUCUCUACAAGACAGCCACUAGAGGGCUUCCGGGAUCCAAACGGACUUUUGGUAUGUUAUCUUGAAUAACAUUGAAUAAUGCUUUCCUAUGGGGAUGUCUUAUGCGCGCGCGCCCAUUGCCACGCAUGCACAUUAGAUCUCCCCCGGACUGAUGGUGGAGGAGGAGCGUGGGCGGAUCCUGAUCCAGCACCGAGUGACAUUGGUGAUGGAUUCAGGUUAGUGGCUGAAGGGGUUUUAUAGAUUUUCUAUUGCUUACCUGCCUCUAUACUUUACUUACCUACUAGAAAUAUUAUGUUGAGGGUUUUUUCUGUUGCUUUAUUAACAUUGGACUGUUUAGACCCAGAUGACAACUUGUAAUGUAUAUUUUUCCACCCACCAUCAUUUUGGCUUGAUCUUAUAUGAGGACUGACUCUGGUGCUAGUAAAGUGCUUAGAAUGCAGAUAAACAGAAACUUAAUUAGACUUUGCUAAAGGCCAGCCUAACAAAGAAACCAAGAUAAUAUUGUGUUAAAGUUAAUACAGUAAAGUAAUUAUCACACUGACGGGAGCUAUUAAAAACAUCUAAAAAUUAUUAAUGAACUGGAUUAAGCAAUUUGCUACUCUAAAAAUGUAGCCUAGAUAACGAACUAUUAGAUAAGAAAUAUUAGUCCUCCGAAGCUGCAGGCUAUUAAAAUAAUAUAUUUUUGUUUCUACAUAACACCAUAGCAACUUGCCUAAACCUCUAUUAAACCCAAGCUCCUGUUAGCUUUGCAGGUGCUUGGGCUGCAGGGAGUUUACAGAUGUGGUAAAAAAACUUCCCCUGAGGACCUCAAGGAUCAAGAGCAAUGAUAUGACUUGGAGCAGAGUUCUUCAAGCUGAGGUUCAGGUCCCACCAACAGACCAAGCUAUGACGAUAUUCUUAUGCACAUUGUCUUAUAAUGAACAAGUCUUUCAAUAAAAAUAGGUGUCACUGACCAAAUUUGCUAUAGUAAAGCACAAAUAUGAUGAUGGGUCUGCUGAUGAAUCUUGAGUACAGCUUGAAGAACAUGUCCUAGACCAGUGGUUCUCAAACCUGACCACAUGGCCCACGAACAGUCCAGGUUUUGUCAGUAUCUGCAUUGGAAUAAAAAAGAAUUGUGUUUUCUGUAAACAGAUGCAUUUAUAAUUAAUUCAUUACUAACAAUAUUGCUUCCUGGUAAUCUAACAAAACUCUUAUUUUUCUUGCAGGUAACAUCACAAGAAGUUGCCAGUGCCUAAAGUAUCCAUUGAUUUUUGUUUUGGCAAGAUCUUCAAAGAAGCAGAGGACUUAGACCAAAUUGUUUUAAUGCAUUGUAGAAAUCAUGUAACUUAUAGGAAGGCAGGUGAGAGAGGAGGAUUGUGCUCGGAAACACUUUUAACUUUUAUUUAUUCAGUUAUUUUUAAACAUUUGAAAGAUUCCCUAAUGUUUUGUCCUAACCUCCUAUUAGCAGCUGGCACGAAAAGGGGAGAGAGGAAAUUGUUUGCACAUUUGUAUACAAGUGUCUGUCUGGAGAAGCAGCCACAUUAACUCACAAAUAACAACCUUGCCAAAAAAUUCAGCUGUGCAGGAAUUAUGCAUUGCUAAACUUUCAUAUUUAUCUAGAACAGUUUGGGAUUUGAAGAAUUAACACCACAACCUUUAGCAUUCGUUAGUAUUCUAGAAUAAAGAUCUUAGAUUAUAUUAUAUUAACCUGCAUGGAUAGUUAAUUCGAUGUUCGUGCCCCAAAAAUAUUUUUGUUGAUUCUCGAUUUUUGUUUUAUUUAUUUUUUUAAUGUAUACUGAACUGUAUUGGAUCCUGCAUGGUGCAAAAAUGAAGCUAAUUACCAACGUACUGUAAUUUUUGUUGAUGAUGUUCUUGGUGAGGUCCUGAGCGUCCAUACAAGGCAUCCUGUUGACCAGUGUCUCCCAGCCCAAGGUGCAGUGCUGCAUCUCUGGUCAGUUGUGAGUCUGAGAUGAAGCACUGUAGCUCGGGAAGGCGGAAUUAUGCGGCAGUUUAGAAGAAAGUGCAAGAAAAAUUUUACUCAAUGGAAUCAACCAUCUAAUGGAUUUCAACAAGGAGAAACUUUCAUCUUUAUUGAAAUGUGCAUGUGGGAAAUGGCCCUGAUGUUUUUUGGAUGUUUGUCAUAUGUAGACAAUGUUUGGUGAUGUAGACAAAGUAAGUUUCCCAAAAACUGUAAAAUAAUGUUAAUAUUGAAUUCUACAGCUAUGAUCUGAAUUAUCCUGCUACUACUAUGAUUGUAUGACACGGUACUUAAAGAAACACUCUGGGCACCACCAUAACUUCAACAAAAUUAAGUUGUUAUGGUGCCAGGAGGUCCAUUCUUUAUCCAUAGUGGUUAAACUGUUCACUUAUUUUUUAUAAAUGGGGACCUGGUGAUUGGCUUAGAGAGUCAACUCACUGCUCUAAGUCAAUCAACUGUGCCAAUUUCCUGCGCCAGUCACUGCUUCCUGGAUCUGAAUUUGAUAAACUGAACAUCAUGGCAGACAGGCAGGACCAGCACUGUUAGGACAACUGUGGAAUUAAACGGUUUAAACCCUAUGGGUAAGGACACCAUGAUAACUUUAUUUUGACUAAAUUUUUUUAUGUGUCUGGAGUGUUCCUUUAAUACUCAGCGUAGUGCAUGUAAUAAAACCUUUGUAAUUUGCACAAAAAUUUUAGAUGGCUGGAUUACUCUUAUACAGAGGAGAAAACCUAUAAAAUAAAUCUGUAUGCAUGCUAGCAUUUAUGAAGUUGAACUAGUACAUUAUUUCCUUAAAUGACCCCUUAAUGAAGAGCCUGGCCACCCGUUAUCAUGCUACUCAUUGAUUCCUUCUUUUCUACAUGUUGAUUUAAUCCUUCCAAAAUAUUUCUAAUGACAUCCAUCCAUACUAAAAGUAUAGUAUUCAUAGAAAAUGGUGGUAGAAUAUUAGGGCGUUGCAUCAAAAGUUUUCAAAUAUCUGGAUAUUAUUCUAUGAAAUGAUUGUUGACAUAUCUUUAAAAAAUUCUAGCUGGGCAAGUUAUUCUCUGGAAAGUGUGGCUAACACAUGACUCUUAAUACAAUUUGUUAACUUGUCAGCCUAUGGAGUCCAAAUAUCAGUGACUUAAAUUAUUUGCUUGAAUGUGUAAAAGUAUAUCAGCAGUAAAAAAAAAACAGCUUCAAAUCUAGAUGUUGGAAAUAGCUAAAACAUUUCAAGUACCGUAUUUCGCCACAUAAUGGUCGCCACCGCAAAAACCCUGGUUUUUAAGUAAAAAAAUUGGCUCAAAUUCAAAUUAUCACGUAAUAGUCACAUAGUUGACCAUUGCUGUUUUUGUUGUGAGACAUUCUUAUUCUUGAAAACUAAUGGCGAAUAUCCUACUGAGCUUAUACAGAAGAGAGGGUUUAUUACCUAUCAGUUUAUCUUAUUUUAGUGCAUUUUAUCUAUGUAACGCAUUAUAAAAUGACAGGAGGACAGGGAUCAGGAUUAGAGCUUACGUAAUGCAUUAGAAAAUAUGCUAUGUUUUGUUAUCAAUAACUAUAAUGUUAUCAGCAACCGUUAAUAACAAAUCUUUGCAUAUAUUAUAUUGCAAAAAAUAAAGCUUCACAUAAUGGUCGCACCCCCAUUUUAAGGAAAGGAAUUAGUCAUAAAAUAUGCGACCAUUAUGCAUUGAAAUACGGUAUUCUGCAGUGCUUACUUUGAUUGGCGUCUUUGAAAGAACGUUAAGACAGAAGAAAGAUCUGAUCAAUAAGCCUUACCAUGUUUCUUUGAUGUGUUUGUUUGUCAUGUUGCACUUGUUUUUGAGAAAAUAUACACUUUUUUAGACUCUGGGUAGUUGCCCUUCAAUAACAUUUGCAUUGCGUACAUAGUUUAGUUAAAAAAUAAGUAGACAAUAACAGCUUUAUGAGUGAGUUGCACCUAUAAUUCCACCCGAUUAAUUGAGAUCAUAUCAAGGUGUUCAUGUCAGGUGAUACAUUUUACAUUGACAUUUGACGUGGUUGAAAAAUUGCUUGAAGUCGAAAAUUUGCAGAAGGGUCUGAUUGGCUGUUGUGGCUGGUCACUUUGGAUUGUUGAGUGAAACCCAUUUGACCUAGUCUUCGAGGUCCAGUUUUCCCAGGAAUCCCUUGGGUGUUGUGGUGGGGAUUCCUGGAAAUACUGUUCUUGUGGUCUAGGUUUUGCAUCUGAGAACAUCUCUUGCUUCCAUGAAAGUAAUAACAGGUGAGUCAAAAUAAAUGUUGUAUUUAUUGAUGUCAAGUACUUUUAUUGAACAUUUUAAGUGCCAGGUUAGGAGAUGCCAAAAAUAAGUAAACAAAAAGCAUUUUUUCACAUUUUGGUCUUGUGCAACAAACUUUUACCUCUGAUGAAAAUCUUUUAUUAUAGGGUUGAAACUUCAGACAUCUUUGCUAAAACUUUUAUUUAUUUUGUAUUUACUUUGUCUACUUUGCAGUACCUUUGAGUUAAAAGUGCAGUCUAAGCACCACAAGAACAUUGUAUCUAGAUAAAUAACCACCCUAUGCAGCGCCCACUCACUCUACCAAGAGUAGGCUGUAGUGUCAGCAGUUAGUGAAGAUCACUGCUGUUUUAAGACAAUCCACUCAAACAAUCAAAUCAAACAGCCCGACACAUGUAGAUCCAGGCUGCCAGUGUCAAUUUCAUGCCGAAUGUACGUGUAGUGUGAGAUGCAGUGUCAAUAUUAUUCCCAUUUUAGUAGGCAUGACAAUUUGUACUGUAUAAUUUAAUAAUCUGUAAUACUAUUUGAUAGUUUUUUUCUUUAUAAAAACAUGUAGGUAAUAUACAUUUUAAAUAAAGUGAAUGAAAUAAUCCUUGGUUAUGUGUUUUGUGUCAAAAUUUAUGGAGAUUACAAGUCACCCACCACAUUGAGGUUGUAAAUUGCAGGUGAGAUAUGGAAUACUGAAAUAAAACAAAAUGGUG
Non-coding RNA from Pelobates cultripes (western spadefoot toad), 23339 nucleotides. The record is from the annotation of a GenBank genome assembly. Lineage: Eukaryota; Metazoa; Chordata; Amphibia; Anura; Pelobatidae.